UACGUAGGGAGCGAGCGUUGUCCGGAAUCAUUGGGCGUAAAGAGCGCGUAGGUGGAUCAAUUAGUCUGCUGUGAAAGUCAAAGGCUCAACCUUUGAAAGCCGGUGGAUACUGUUGAUCUAGAGUACGAAAGAGGCGAGUGGAAUUCCUGGUGUAGCGGUGGAAUGCGCAGACAUCAGGAGGAACACCAAUAGCGAAGGCAGCUCGCUGGGACGUUACUGACGCUGAGGCGCGAAAGCGUGGGGAGCAAACAGG
RNAcentral lists this ribosomal RNA (253 nucleotides) under uncultured bacterium. Its description in RNAcentral is "partial 16S ribosomal RNA". It matches the Rfam family "Bacterial small subunit ribosomal RNA", at positions 524 to 776 of the family's 1533-position model. The record is from RNAcentral.